Molecule: long non-coding RNA, 206 nt
Organism: Labeo rohita (rohu)
Lineage: Eukaryota; Metazoa; Chordata; Actinopteri; Cypriniformes; Cyprinidae
Exons: 4
Source: RefSeq, a predicted model, not a curated record
UUUAGACUGAUCAUUGAGCUUUAUCUCCUGAGCAAUUUUUGAGACUACAGCAUUACGAGCACUACAAACUCUCCACUGCACAAUACCCGACCAUCUAUUCAGAGCACGACCUUGCAUUUUUCUCUGCAGCUGAACGCCUGGUUUUGGACUUUCUCCAAGCAGCAGUUCUUCUGUAUUGUUCCCAUCCACCCCCCCCCAAACCCGCC